AUGAAUGCUGGCGGCGUGCCUCACACAUGCAAGUCGAGCGGCAGCGAGGGGUGCUUGCACCCUGUCGGCGCGCGGCGAACGGCUGAGUAACGCGUAGGAAUUUGCCCCAAAGUGAGGAAUAACUGCCCGAAAGGGUAGCUAAUGCCGCAUAUGGUCUUCGGAUUAAAGGAUUUAUCCGCUUUGGGAGAAGCCUGCGUUGGAUUAGGUUGUUGGUAGGGUAAUGGCCUACCAAGCCGACGAUCCAUAGCUGGUCUGAGAGGAUGAUCAGCCAGACUGGAACUGAGACACGGUCCAGACUCCUACGGGAGGCAGCAGUGAGGAAUCUUCCACAAUGGGCGAAAGCCUGAUGGAGCAACGCCGCGUGAAGGAUGAAGGCCUUCGGGUUGUAAACUUCUUUUAUGAGUGAAGAAUAUGACGGUAACUCAUGAAUAAGCACCGGCUAACUACGUG
This 450-nucleotide ribosomal RNA is filed under the name uncultured bacterium. Its description in RNAcentral is "partial 16S ribosomal RNA". It matches the Rfam family "Bacterial small subunit ribosomal RNA", at positions 29 to 507 of the family's 1533-position model. The record is from RNAcentral.